RNAcentral lists this ribosomal RNA (441 nucleotides) under uncultured bacterium. RNAcentral's name for it is "partial 16S ribosomal RNA". It matches the Rfam family "Bacterial small subunit ribosomal RNA", at positions 338 to 795 of the family's 1533-position model. The record is from RNAcentral.
ACUACGGGUGGCAGCAGUGGGGGAUAUUGCACAAUGGGGGGAACCCUGAUGCAGCGACGCCGCGUGGGUGAAGGAGUGCUUCGGCAUGUAAAGCCCUAUCGGCAGGGAAGAAGCAAGACGUUACCUGACUAAGAAGCCCCGGCGAACUACGUGCCAGCAGCCGCGGUAAUACGGAGGAGGCGAUCGUUAUCCGGAUUAAUUGGGUGUAAAGGGAGCGUAGACGGCGCUGAAAGUCCGGAGUGAAAGCCCAGGGCUUAACCAUGGUACUGCUCUGGAAACUGUGGAGCUUGAGUGCGGGAGGGGCAGGGGGAAUUCCUAGUGUAGCGGUGAAAUGCGUAGAUAUUAGGAGGAACACCGGCGGCGAAGGCGGCCUGCUGGACCGUAACUGACGUUGAGGCUCGAAAGCGUGGGGAGCAAACAGGAUUAGAUACCCCUGUAGUC